UCUUAUCUCUUAUGAAAAGUAGACACUCAAACCCUAAAGAUUUAAAGUUGCAGCCGUCACCCCCUUCUCUCUCAUAAAAACUCCUUUUUCCCCAAAUUUAACCCCAUCAAAACCCUGAUCUCUACAAUCUAAGAAACAAAAAAUCAAACUUCUACUCUUUUUCCUGGCGUGUAUUUCUGAACGAUCACUGUGCCUCUUCCUCUACUCCUAUUUCUCUAACAACCAAACAUAACAACGUUCGACACAUUACAAGAAACCCAGAUCGGUUCCAUGGAGUCCGAAGUUUCGAAUCAAGAGAACAGAACGAUGAUCCCAGAUGUAGACUGGAGAUGAGGGUUCAGAGAGGUUCGUCGCUGUUCGUGGUGGUGGUUAAAUCAGGGGAUGAACUGUGUGAAGUGAUGGACGGCGGCUGCUGACUGGUGAAUGAAGGCGGUGACCGGUGGUGUACGCUGACCGGUGAUUGGUGAACGGAAGUGUGAUGACUGAAGUGACUUGUUGCGACGGAGGUGGUGGAUGUGAGUCUAUUUAGUGUUUUAUCCGGGUUGCGGUCGGGUGUUUACUACAGUUCAACGGAGUGGGAAUGAAGGUGAGUUAGGAUGGAUGAACAUGUGAGAUUGCCUUACAUGAAGAUGUUAAGUAAGAAACUGAAGAUGAGAAUGAUGUAUGUUUUUGUGUGGUGUGACGCAAAACGAACAAUGAAAGCCUAAAACCUUCUGUUUCUACUCCUUUUCUUUAAAUUCGCCGGUCAGAACAAAGUCGCCAGAAUAACGACUCCGGGAAAAUGUGACUUACCGGCGUAUUUACCCAAUACGCCGGAGAACUUGAACUCGCGUUCAAGAUUUAAAGUCGCCGAAAAUUAAUUUCGCCGGAAGAUGUUAAGUAAGAAACUGAAGAUGAGAAUGAUGUAUGUUUUUGUGUGGUGUGACGCAAAACGAACAAUGAAAGCCUAAAACCUUCUGUUUCUACUCCUUUUCUUUAAAUUCGCCGGUCAGAACAAAGUCGCCAGAAUAACGACUCCGGGAAAAUGUGACUUACCGGCGUAUUUACCCAAUACGCCGGAGAACUUGAACUCGCGUUCAAGAUUUAAAGUCGCCGAAAAUUAAUUUCGCCGGAAAAGUUCGCCGGAAAAAUUAAUUACGCCGGAAAGUUGCGGGAAAACACAAUUUCGCCGGAACUUUCAAUAAAAUCGCUAUAUUCAAAGAUAAAAUCGCUGUAUUCAUAAAAAAAUCGCCCGGAAACUUCAAAAACUCAUCUAAAACCUACUGAUUUAAGCUGAAACCACUUUAAAUGAUACGAAAUCACUAUGAAUCUUUCAAAUAAUACUUGUCUCAACUCACAAUCAGCAAACACAUACUUUAAACAUUUUAAAAACAAGUUUUUUUGAAGAAAAAUUUGAAUA
RNAcentral lists this long non-coding RNA (1399 nucleotides) under Helianthus annuus (common sunflower). RNAcentral describes it as "hypothetical non coding rna". Lineage: Eukaryota; Viridiplantae; Streptophyta; Magnoliopsida; Asterales; Asteraceae. The record is from RNAcentral.